CGAGAGCACCACGCAGCCACCGGUUCUUCCCCCACGGCGCCGGAGCACGCCGCGUGGCCAUCUUCUCCGUCGAGGCCGACGGCGGAGAUGGCGAUGCCCCUCGGCGCAUGGGGCUGCUCUGAAUGGUCGAGACGCCCGUCGUUCCGUGGCAUCUGGUUGCUGUUCGCGGGUGGGGAUAUGGCUGUGGGCUGCGGCUAGUGUUCGCUAUAUUUCUCAUUUCUUUCUAGAGAGAUUGUGGCGGCAGCGGCACCACCAUCCUUGUCCAUAUUAGUUCUUGGAUCGGAGCCGUUCUCAGUGGACAACGAAUUUGUGAGGUACAGAAGAAUUAUUGCGCUGCAAUGCCAGUUAUGUGUUGCAGCUCUUCCUCGCAGUAUGUUUACGUCGGAAUUAGGGGUUGAACAGAGUUGCAUCUAUGAGCGUCCACUGCAGAUUCUGCAACGCGCCCCCAAACAAGGAUUGGAAUGGAGAAUUGUCAGCAGAAGGAAUAGUUGCAGAAUUGAUAUUUGGUGAGACAGGAAUAGCAUGGAUAGGGAUUUCCAGGCAUUGCCACGCGCCGCAUACAGUAAGCUUUCUUUGACUUUUUGUUAUUCGGUUUUUUUCUUCCACUAAAGCACACCACCGCUAGCCUCUUUAUAAUGCCACCGUGCAACUUGUUAUAUGUUCUCACAAGAGCUUUGGCUGCAUCAACACCUGCCUACUACAAGGCAGGUAAAAGGAUUCCUCUCUUCUCCUAUCCUGCAAUCCUCUGCCCUGCCUCCCCUGCAGAUCAUGGAGGCUGCUUGGCAGGAGCGUCUCCAUGGUUCUUGAGAGCUGCGAAAGCAGUACAGCAGUAUAAGGAUGGAGGACAAUGGCUGAGCUGAGCUCCUCCUCAUCAAUCAUCAGUUCCCAUGCCUCUCAUGGCCUUCUACCCUGGCUUCCAGUUCCAGAUGGCUCGGUGAGGCGUGGACAGAAACCGGCAAGUCAGAAAUCGGCAAUGGUGAGCUCCUACGGGAGCCUACUCCUUAUUUACCAGUUUUAAGUUUUCCUUCAUGUUGUUCCUCGUUUUCCUUCGUUUCUUCUUUUUAUUUCUUACCUUAAAGUUGUAUCUGGUUAAAGCAGAAGAUUUCAUUAGAAGUCUUGCUUUUUGGAGAUAGUGCUUUUAUGUUUGUUUUGGAAUAUCCUACUUGAAUUGCUCGUGUCCCUCGUAAAGAGCUGUCGUUUCAUGCUACUGUUCUGUAACCUUGUUUGAUCUCCUUUCGAAGGAUACCAUUGUCGUAUUUUUGUCAA
Molecule: long non-coding RNA, 1266 nt
Organism: Panicum virgatum (switchgrass)
Lineage: Eukaryota; Viridiplantae; Streptophyta; Magnoliopsida; Poales; Poaceae
Exons: 3
Source: RefSeq, a predicted model, not a curated record